CUCUGGGCCGUUACUGACGCUGAGGAGCGAAAGGGUGGGGAGCAAACAGGCUUAGAUACCCUGGUAGUCCACCCCGUAAACGUUGGGAACUAGUUGUGGGGACCAUUCCACGGUUUCCGUGACGCAGCUAACGCAUUAAGUUCCCCGCCUGGGGAGUACGGCCGCAAGGCUAAAACUCAAAGGAAUUGACGGGGACCCGCACAAGCGGCGGAGCAUGCGGAUUAAUUCGAUGCAACGCGAAGAACCUUACCAAGGCUUGACAUAUACGAGAACGGGCCAGAAAUGGUCAACUCUUUGGACACUCGUAAACAGGUGGUGCAUGGUUGUCGUCAGCUCGUGUCGUGAGAUGUUGGGUUAAGUCCCGCAACGAGCGCAACCCUCGUUCUAUGUUGCCAGCACGUAAUGGUGGGAACUCAUGGGAUACUGCCGGGGUCAACUCGGAGGAAGGUGGGGAUGACGUCAAAUCAUCAUGCCCCUUAUGUCUUGGGCUUCACGCAUGCUACAAUGGCCGGUACAAUGGGCUGCAAUACCGUGAGGUGGAGCGAAUCCCAAAAAGCCGGUCCCAGUUCGGAUUGAGGUCUGCAACUCGACCUCAUGAAGUCGGAGUCGCUAGUAAUCGCAGAUCAGCAACGCUGCGGUGAAUACGUUCCCGGGUCUUGUACACACCGCCCGUCAAGUCAUGAAAGUCGGUAACACCUGAAGCCGGUGGCC
This 711-nucleotide ribosomal RNA is filed under the name Microbacterium sp. DBQ_21S. RNAcentral describes it as "bacterial SSU rRNA". It matches the Rfam family "Bacterial small subunit ribosomal RNA", at positions 727 to 1435 of the family's 1533-position model. The record is from RNAcentral. Lineage: Bacteria; Bacillati; Actinomycetota; Actinomycetes; Micrococcales; Microbacteriaceae.